This is a long non-coding RNA of Orcinus orca (killer whale), 3863 nucleotides long. RefSeq lists it as uncharacterized. The transcript has 3 exons. NCBI's taxonomy places the organism in Eukaryota, Metazoa, Chordata, Mammalia, Artiodactyla, Delphinidae. The record is from RefSeq and is a predicted model, not a curated record.
GGCUGGGGAGGAGGUAGGGCAGCUCCCAAAGGGGAAGCAGCCCGCUGUUUCUGUGCAGUGUGGCACAGGAUGCGUGAUUUCUGGAGCCGGAUAGAUUUGGGUCUGCACUUGAUUGGCAGUAGCUGGUGGACAGCAGCCCAGGUAGAGAUGGCACUUACCAAAGGAGCCAGGAGACCUGCGUGACAGUGAAGACAACACAAGCCCCUCCAAGAACCCUCAGAACCCUUCAGACCUCAGCAGAGGACGAUAGUGAUGAAGAUGGAGAAUCUUGGAAAGGAACUGAGGGGCAAAGAAUGGGCUGGGCAUGGCUUUGUGCCCAACACCAUGUGUCCUGGUCUGAGCAUCCAGGCCAAAGCUUGAUUUGCAUUCAUGCUGCGUCCCUGGUUGGUGAAGCUGGACUUGCUUAUCGUCCUGAUGAGACUGGCAAAAGCUCCAGACGAGGGGUGACAAUGAACGGGAAAACACUGCAGAGGGCAGGGAUGGGAGGGGAAGGCUCGGGGGAAUUACCCAGGGGUUUCAUGUCAUGCAUUUGUCUGUUCAUCAUCUCCAUUUGGGCAACAACAACUUAAGAGGAGCAAGCAGAGAGGUUCACAUUAUUUUAGUGACCCCUGAAAAAACUCCCACAUCUCUGCUGGGAAAUGUGUGCUUCCCCUCCAUGCAGCAUUUGUUUUAAAUAUUUAGCUUCCCCACACAGUGGCAAGCUCAUUUACCCAUUUCCUCUCUCUUUCUCCUUCUCUCCUCUCUCUCUCUCUCCCUUUCUCUGUGUCUCUCCCUAAUGAAAUCACUUUAGUCAGCACAAAUUUGAAGGCAGAACCAAACCCAGUAAUAGCAUAUCUCAGGCUGCUAUCAAUUUUCCGCCAGAAGAAUAUUUCAGGACACAAAGUCCUUUGUCUAUUUCCAGAAGCUCAAUUCAAUGACAUUACAUGAAUGACUACAACCCUAUAGCAUGUUCUGCACCGUUUCAAAUUGUAACCUAAAAAAAGGGAAUAACUUGGAUUGCGGCCAGAGUGUAAUGAUUUCAGUUCUUAAGAAAAUCCAGCAACCAUUACACCACAUUCAAUAUUUUCUUGCUGUGGAAAUUUAAGAAUUGACUCUAAUCAAAUAGCAAGCCCACCACCCCCAUCCUCCAUUUUCUUAUGGUUCCUGUUACUAACAGGCCUCCCACGUCUGUUUUGGCUUAAAAAAAUAAAUAAGUUUACAAUAUGUUUUUAAAAAUUGGGCUGAAUCAGACAAUUGUAUAUUUUAGAAAAUGAAGGCAAAAUGUAAAACAGGCUAAUCAUGAUUCCAAAUUCAAUCUUCAGGGCCCUAAUUGAUCCCAUCCCAAAGGUAACAUUCUAUCUUAAUUGACAUGCCGAGAUGGUUACAAUUAUGUAAAAUAAAACUGGGCCUGUUGGAAACUCCAUGUUUUCUCGUUGAACAGGAGAUGGCCAGCUUUUAUAAUAGUUGAUUGCAAAAGGAUGCGACCACUUUGCUCAUAUUUCCUAUUUUGGUUUGGCCCUUGUACAUGUGCAAUGAGGUUCCCCACCCUUCCAGUGAAGUAUGGACAUCAAGGGGGAUUUGAUGUCAUUAUAUUUUCCUUGGAACUGAAGGAGGCCUGAUAGAAAGGGUCAGCAUUUUCAAUGUCCAUUUUGGAAGUCAGUUAAAAAGAGAGAAUGGAAGAGAGAGAGGGGAUGAAAUCGAACAUUUUCCCAUUUGUUGGCAGAGGGAUAUGUCUGCGCGAUGGUGACCACACGCGCGAGCUCGUGCUCAGCCUUGAUAGGAAACAGAUGGCAGCGAGCGAGCACUGAGCACGCGGAGAUUAUAGAAUGCCGGGCCCACGGGAUGGACCCACAGCCCUUCUGUCUCUCUGCCGAGGGCACCCCGACUGGGAGGGCAGGGCUCCCUGGGGGCCAUACUGGAGGCUGAGGAAGACAGGAGACCUGUUUAUGCAAUCAGGAAAGGCAGAGGCUGCCUUCGAUGGGGUGGAACACCUGUGCCUCUUGGCAGCUUGCCUCCCCGGAUGGGUGAACCAAGGGAGCCUGGUGCGUGGUGGUUACUAUUAAUCACCCUCCUCCUGCCCAGCAGUGCCAGCCACAGGGGCAUCUUCUUCUCACGCACGGCGGCGGUGCUUACUCUCUACCUCCCGACAAGACAAUGUCAUUCUGUCAACAUCCACACUGGUCCUGCUUUAGUUUAGAGCGUCAGGUCUCUCCUGCAUGGUGGCAGUGGCUUUUCUGACUGGCCUCUCUGCCUCCAAUCCUGCUGCCUCCAAUUCACAAACCUGCCUAUGUGGCAGGUCUAAACCCUGCCAGGGCUCCCCAAGAACCUCAGAAAGGAGAACAACUGCUGUUACUUAUUUGUGUAAUUAUUUGUUUCAUGCCUCUUUGGCUGCCAGUUUACUCCUGGAUCCUUGGCAUCUAGCACAGUGCCAGGCCGUGUGUGUGGAGCCUUGGGGUAUUUUUGUUGAUUGAAUAAAAAUGCUCUUCCUUGGGCUUCCCUGGUGGCGCAGUGGUUGAGAGUCCGCCUGCCGAUGCAGGGGACACAGGUUCGUGCCCCGGUCUGGGAAGAUCCCGCAUGUCGUGGAGCGGCUGGGCCCGUGAGCCAUGGCCACUGAGCCUGCGUGUCCGGAGCCUGUGCUCCGCAACGGGAGAGGCCACAACAGUGAAAGGCCCGCACAGCGUAAAAAAAAAAAAAAAAAAAAAAAAAAAAUGCUCUUCCUUGAGCACUGAGGCCAACUCCCCAACCUAGAGAGCGUUAUAUACAAGUGUGCUCAUAUAUUCUUCUCUUAGCAAAAUAUCAGUGCUUUAGUUAACAUUUAUCACCUACUCUAGACCCAUAGAGACAAAGAACACAGUGAAAGAAGUACUCUUCAGGCUGACAGUAUAGUCUGGACACACUUAGCUCCUCUGGAAGGGCCUCGAACAGGAGCGGUCCGAUAAGCAAAGAAUAUUAUAUUUUGCUGUUACUUUUUGAAGACCCUCAAGACCUCAGGGUUGCAUGGGUCUUAAAUCACCUUGCUCAACAGAUUAAUUUUGCAGAAGAGGAAAAGGAACCCUGAAGAGGUUAUGUGACUUCCUAGGCGAUCAGUUGUCAGUUACAGGUAGGGCUGUGAUGAGCACCGGGGCUCCUAGCCUGAGGCUCUUGUACCUGUUGGGCUGGAGUCCCAGGUUAUUUGGGAAAUCAGCGAAAUCCCUCCACGGCAUCUCCUUUAAUUCCAUUUCACGUUUACACGCCUCCCCCCAUCCAUUUCCCAUUUAUAUGUUAUUUGUGCUCAAGGCCGCCACGGAAAACCCUGUUCCUGAGAAGCAGCCUGGGACAAAGGAAGGAGAGUCAAGCUUGGAGCCAGAACGACCUGGGCUUGAGUCUAGGCUCUGCUAUUUCCUUGCUUUGUGAACUUGAGCAAUUUACUUAGUUCUCUGGGCCUCAGUUUCCUCAUGAUAGCAACCUCACAGAGUUGUUGUGAAGAUUGAGUGAGAAAACAUAUGAAAAGCCUCUGCCAUGUUAUAGGAGCUUCAUAGAUAUUUAAUACAUUUUCCUUCCUACUCUUCUUGUACGCUACUGAAACUCACCCGUCCUGAGCUUCUGUGCCAUACUCCCCUCCAGGUUAUUCAUACCAUUGCAUGUCUGCCCUUCCUUCCUCCCUCUUUGUAUCUAUCCCAAGGUGACAUGUGCAUUUUUAAAAAAAUUUAUUGGAGUACAGUUGAUUUACAAUGUUGUGUUAGUUUCAGGUGUAUAGCAAAGUGAUUCAGUUAUACAUAUACAUAUAUUCAUUCUUUUUCAGAUUUUUUUCCCAUAUAGGUUAUUAUAGAAUAUUGAGUAGAGUUCCCUGUGCUAUGUAGGUCCUUGUUGAUUAUCUAUUUUAUAUAUAGUAAUAUGUGUAUGUU